CGGUAUCUAGCAGCUCACUUUGUCUUGGGAGUGAAGUAUCCAUAAAAAAAUGGAUCCUGAGCAUUUCAGUUCAUCUAUUUUUGUUCACUGACUUGACAACGUGAUGAAAAAUGAAACAAGGCCUACUGCAGACAUAAUCACCACCUGAUACAGCCAUACCAAUUACAGAAGCUGGGUUUUUGCUGAAACACAAGGAUGCCUUUCACCCAGCAGCAUUGCAAGAUCAAAUCCCUGAAUGCCAGAGAACGAUCGUGGGGGACCACAGCAAGCUCUGAGCAUCCCCUCGGCAGCCCUUUCUCCCCUGGGGAGCAUCUCUCUGCUCGGAGGGGCUACAAAACCCUACAGGUUCAAGCUUCCCCAAAGGACUAUGGGACUAUAUGAAAAUAUAUAGAAGGAAGAAA
This 401-nucleotide long non-coding RNA is filed under the name Calidris pugnax (ruff). RNAcentral describes it as "lncRNA (ENSCPUG00000019469.1)". The record is from RNAcentral. Lineage: Eukaryota; Metazoa; Chordata; Aves; Charadriiformes; Scolopacidae.